RNAcentral lists this ribosomal RNA (497 nucleotides) under uncultured bacterium. RNAcentral describes it as "partial 16S ribosomal RNA". It matches the Rfam family "Bacterial small subunit ribosomal RNA", at positions 28 to 507 of the family's 1533-position model. The record is from RNAcentral.
GAUGAACGCUGGCGGCGUGCCUAAUACAUGCAAGUCGAGCGAACAGAUGAGGAGCUUGCUCCUCUGACGUUAGCGGCGGACGGGUGAGUAACACGUGGAUAACCUACCUAUAAGACUGGGAUAACUUCGGGAAACCGGAGCUAAUACCGGAUAAUAUAUUGAACCGCAUGGUUCAAUAGUGAAAGACGGUUUUGCUGUCACUUAUAGAUGGAUCCGCGCCGCAUUAGCUAGUUGGUAAGGUAACGGCUUACCAAGGCAACGAUGCGUAGCCGACCUGAGAGGGUGGUCGGCCACACUGGAACUGAGACACGGUCCAGACUCCUACGGGAGGCAGCAGUAGGGAAUCUUCCGCAAUGGGCGAAAGCCUGACGGAGCAACGCCGCGUGAGUGAUGAAGGUCUUCGGAUCGUAAAACUCUGUUAUUAGGGAUGAACAAAUGUGUAAGUAACUAUGCACGUCUUGACGGUACCUAAUCAGAAAGCCACGGCUAACUACGUG